UGGGGAAUAUUGCACAAUGGGCGCAAGCCUGAUGCAGCCAUGCCGCGUGUAUGAAGAAGGCCUUCGGGUUGUAAAGUACUUUCAGUCGGGAGGAAGGUGGUAAGGUUAAUAACCUUGGCAAUUGACGUUACCGACAGAAGAAGCACCGGCUAACUCCGUGCCAGCAGCCGCGGUAAUACGGAGGGUGCAAGCGUUAAUCGGAAUUACUGGGCGUAAAGCGCACGCAGGCGGUUUGUUAAGUCAGAUGUGAAAUCCCCGGGCUCAACCUGGGAACUGCAUCUGAUACUGGCAAGCUUGAGUCUCGUAGAGGGGGGUAGAAUUCCAGGUGUAGCGGUGAAAUGCGUAGAGAUCUGGAGGAAUACCGGUGGCGAAGGCGGCCCCCUGGACAAAGACUGACGCUCAGGUGCGAAAGCGUGGGGAGCAAACAGG
This 429-nucleotide ribosomal RNA is filed under the name Chloroflexota bacterium. RNAcentral describes it as "Chloroflexi bacterium partial 16S ribosomal RNA". It matches the Rfam family "Bacterial small subunit ribosomal RNA", at positions 355 to 776 of the family's 1533-position model. The record is from RNAcentral. Lineage: Bacteria; Bacillati; Chloroflexota.